GAUGAACGCUGGCGGCGUGCCUAAUACAUGCAAGUCGAGCGAACAGACGAGGCGCUUGCUCCUCUGACGUUAGCGGCGGACGGGUGAGUAACACGUGGAUAACCUCCCUAUAAGACUGGGAUAACUUCGGGAAACCGGAGCUAAUACCGGAUAAUAUAUUGAACCGCAUGGUUCAAUAGUGAAAGACGGUUUUGCUGUCACUUAUAGAUGGAUCCGCGCCGCAUUAGCUAGUUGGUAAGGUAACGGCUUACCAAGGCGACGAUGCGUAGCCGACCUGAGAGGGGGAUAGGCCACACUGGAACUGAGACACGGUCCAGACUCCUACGGGAGGCAGCAGUAGGGAAUCUUCCGCAAUGGGCGAAAGCCUGACGGAGCAACGCCGCGUGAGUGAUGAAGGUCUUCGGAUCGUAAAACUCUGUUAUUAGGGAAGAACAAAUGUGGAAGUAAAUAUGCACGUCUUGACGGUACCGAAUCAGAAAGCCACGGCUAACUACGUG
This 497-nucleotide ribosomal RNA is filed under the name uncultured bacterium. RNAcentral describes it as "partial 16S ribosomal RNA". It matches the Rfam family "Bacterial small subunit ribosomal RNA", at positions 28 to 507 of the family's 1533-position model. The record is from RNAcentral.